AUACUUACCUGGCAGGGGCGAUACCUAUGAUCACGAAGGUGGUUCACCCAGGGUGAGGCUCUGCCAUUGCACUUGGGUGGUGCUGACCCUUGCGAAUUCCCCAAAUGCGGGAAUCUCGACUGCAUAAUUUCUGGUAGUGGGGGACUGCGUUCGCGCUCUCCCCUG
Molecule: small nuclear RNA, 165 nt
Organism: Pygocentrus nattereri (red-bellied piranha)
Lineage: Eukaryota; Metazoa; Chordata; Actinopteri; Characiformes; Serrasalmidae
Gene: U1
Rfam family: U1 spliceosomal RNA
About the family: U1 is a small nuclear RNA (snRNA) component of the spliceosome (involved in pre-mRNA splicing). Its 5' end forms complementary base pairs with the 5' splice junction, thus defining the 5' donor site of an intron. There are significant differences in sequence and secondary structure between metazoan and yeast U1 snRNAs, the latter being much longer (568 nucleotides as compared to 164 nucleotides in human).
Source: Ensembl